Molecule: ribosomal RNA, 658 nt
Filed under: Staphylococcus sp. DBT12
Lineage: Bacteria; Bacillati; Bacillota; Bacilli; Caryophanales; Staphylococcaceae
Description: bacterial SSU rRNA
Rfam family: Bacterial small subunit ribosomal RNA
Source: RNAcentral
GAUAAGGAGCUUGCUCCUUUGACGUUAGCGGCGGACGGGUGAGUAACACGUGGGUAACCUAGCUUUAAGACUGGAAUAACUCCGGGAAACCGGGGCUAAUGCCGGAAAACAUUUAGAACCGCAGGGUUCUAAAGUGAAAGAUGGUUUUGCUAUCACUUAUAAAUGGACCCGCGCCGUAUUAGCUAUUUGGUAAGGUAACGGCUUACCAAGGCAACGAUACGUAGCCGACCUGAGAGGGUGAUCGGCCACACUGGAACUGAGACACGGUCUAGACUCCUACGGGAGGCAGCAGUAGGGAAUCUUCCGCAAUGGGCGAAAGCCUGACGGAGCAACGCCGCGUGAGUGAUGAAGGUCUUCGGAUCGUAAAACUCUGUUAUUAGGGAAGAACAAAUGUGUAAGUAACUAUGCACGUCUUGACGGUACCUAAUCAGAAAGCCACGGCUAACUACGUGCCAGCAGCCGCGGUAAUACGUAGGUGGCAAGCGUUAUCCGGAAUUAUUGGGCGUAAAGCGCGCGUAGGCGGUUUCUUAAGUCUGAUGUGAAAGCCCACGGCUCAACCGUGGAGGGUCAUUGGAAACUGGGAAACUUGAGUGCAGAAGAGGAAAGUGGAAUUCCAUGUGUAGCGGUGAAAUGCGCAGAGAUAUGGAGGAACACCAGU